RNAcentral lists this transfer RNA (87 nucleotides) under Gammaproteobacteria bacterium. RNAcentral describes it as "tRNA-Leu". It matches the Rfam family "tRNA". Rfam says of the family: Transfer RNA (tRNA) molecules are approximately 80 nucleotides in length. Their secondary structure includes four short double-helical elements and three loops (D, anti-codon, and T loops). Lineage: Bacteria; Pseudomonadati; Pseudomonadota; Gammaproteobacteria. The record is from RNAcentral.
GCCGAAGUGGCGGAACGGUAGACGCGCCGGUCUCAAAAACCGGUGAGCAUUAAGCUCGUGUGGGUUCGAUUCCCACCUUCGGCACCA